UAAUGGAGGGGGGACAGAUUCUCACUGAUGCCCCAGUGGAUGCAGCAGCAGAGGGAGUGCAGUGAGCACGUCAAUCCUCUGGUCUCUCCACUGCCAAGGAGGAGGCAGAACAGGUUUUGACUUGCUGUCGACUCUAUGCCAUCUGAGCUCUGGAGGUGGAGACCACAGGACCUCAGACCUGCUGUGCACAGGAACAUCACGAUGCUGACAGCAAAAGAUGCUCCAGCAUCAAAGCUCCCUGGGCAGGUCCUCGUGUUCACCGAGAGGGGCUGUUGCACUAAUCAGGACUGUUUGAGGACUCGAGGACUGAAUGUGUGCUGCUGAGAUUUUCUUGAACACAUUCCCACCUGGAUGGCUGUGGGUUUAGGACACGUGCCAUGUCAGGUUGUGCAUCUACAGGUGACUCUAAAUGCUGCUGGGAGUUUCUGCAAGCAGAAUAUAAAAUAUUCAGAUCCAAAUGUUGUUUUAGUCUGCAUAUUUCUCCCCUAAUCUCUGGAUUUGUUUUGCUUUCCGUGAGAAGAGUCUCACUGAAAUGAAUGGGAUUGCCUUGCAGUAGUGUUUAUUACAGCCUUCUGCUAUGUGUAGGCUGUCUCCAGAGUAUUAAACUCUGAGCAUGUAAACUCUGAGUGCUGUGUGGCUGCACUGCAUAUCACAGCUCUCUUCUGUUCUGUAGCUGGGCCCUGCAGAAAGGGAGGUACGGCUGGAAAGCCCUCAAUUUUAAUGCACAUUUUUCUCCUUUGGUACAGACCAGACUGGUUUUCUAGCAUGCUUGAGUUAUGCAUCAUCCACAGCAAGUCACAAAAUGACACUAAGCUUCUUCUGAGCAGAAAUGAGAUUAUAGACUUUUUAAUACCUUUUGUUGUUGUGGGGGGUGGGAAGUAACUCUUUUAUGCACAUAUUCCAAUCUUUCUUCAAACACAUCUGCUGAACACUGAAGUUUUGAAAAGAAAAAUUGGACUAAUUUACCUCUUGGGAUUCUUUCUUUCCAGUGAAUGAGACAAUUUUCUGUUGGGUCAAAUAAGAGUAACAUGGGCAUGCUGGUGACAUGACUAGGUCGGGUUCAUGGUAUUGGACCUCGAUGAGAGCAGGCAACUGGUGGGUCCUUUGUUCAAGCAGUGCCAGGUAUCUGUGUCCCCCAGAUGGAGAAUUAAGGAUCAGGCCAUUGAGUUCUGUGCAGCACAUGAAGCUGAGGAGGAAGAAAUGGGCCAUAAUUCAACACUGCGAAUGCAAAUCUACCUUGGCAAGAUUCAGUUAUCCAAGUCUCACACUUGGUGCAAGAAACUGGAAAUGUAUGGAGCUUGUGGCAGCUUUUGAAGGGUUGCAAUUUGUUCUUUCUCCCCCUCUGUGGGCUGAGAUACCCAAGCAGACUAUGUACCAUGAGCACUGGACUCCAUGAUGUAUUGUUUCCUUUUGCCAGUGGGAACCACCAGUGAGAACCACCAGCAAAUCCUGCUCAGUAGAGAACGGACAAAAAUCUCAAAACCAGGAGCCUUUGCCAAAAUCUCAUCAGAUCCCCUAGAAAUCUUUGACUAAAACCACAAUUUAUAUUUUAUUUGAAAAAAAAUCAAGGCAGAGAACAUAAAAUAAAAACAACCAUACAAUUGCUCCAGCCAGGGUAUUUAAGCAUACUUUACUUUUGAGAUAGUCUAAGUGUUUUAGGACAUGAGAUACAAUUCAGUUCUGGGAAACUGCCCAUGAGAACCUCAGUUCUUACAAGCCAAAUAACUCAUAGGGCUGAUGCUCAGCAUGAAAAGUACCAGGAUAUGCUUGAGAUGUACCUAAUCUCUUGAGGAAAUUACUAGUACCUCUAGAAAAAAAAAAAAAAGGGAAUCAUAAAGCUGUGCAUGAUUUUUUUCCCAAGCCAUAUCUAGUACUAUUUUCUCUGUUACAGCUCCUGCUGCAACAUUUAAGAUCAUCUUAAAAAUGAGGACACAUUUUAUUACAGGGUUAUUGUACAUCUUGAUUUGACUGGGGACUUUCCCAGGAGCUGGAGGACAUUCCCACCAUCCUGAAAAUAACAUUUGGAGUGUUUGGUUUUCAUCAGGACAUGGGGUUUCUCCUGUAUCUGCUGAGCCACCCUUGGGAACCAGCCCAUGCUGAGGGACGGGGGAGUGCCAGAGCUCAGCACUGAUGUUGGCUCCAGUUCUAGGGCACGUCAUCUGCCUCGUGUCCUGGCAUCUGGUGUAGAUGUCAUGGUCCCUGUAUGUCCACUUUGUAAAUGCUUAUUGUAAUUGGUUAUAUAACCACACAGAGAGAUUAAACCAU
Molecule: long non-coding RNA, 2265 nt
Organism: Oxyura jamaicensis (ruddy duck)
Lineage: Eukaryota; Metazoa; Chordata; Aves; Anseriformes; Anatidae
Exons: 4
Source: RefSeq, a predicted model, not a curated record